This is a non-coding RNA of Oreochromis niloticus (Nile tilapia), 72 nucleotides long. The record is from Rfam. NCBI's taxonomy places the organism in Eukaryota, Metazoa, Chordata, Actinopteri, Cichliformes, Cichlidae.
UCCCAUAUGGUCUAGCGGUUAGGCUUCCUGGCUUUCAACCAGGCAGCCCGGGUUUGACUCCCGGUAUAGGAA